This is a non-coding RNA of Pelobates cultripes (western spadefoot toad), 304 nucleotides long. Lineage: Eukaryota; Metazoa; Chordata; Amphibia; Anura; Pelobatidae. The record is from the annotation of a GenBank genome assembly.
CCAUGUGUCCACUUUUUACUGACCAUCAGCUACUCCCUAAAGUGCCUAUUAUUACUUAACAGCUGUUCCCCAACUGGUAAAAUUUACCAGUAGUGACAGGGAGUUGAUGGAUGCUACUGUUAACAGCGUCUAUACAGUAUAAUUAGAGAUAAUAGCUGCUACCUUGUGACUGGCUUCCGACCUUGUUACUACUCUUUACCUGCUGUUGCUAACCUUCAACACCUGCUUCUUUUUGCCUGGUGAAAAUACAAAAAAAAAACAGGUUAACCAUUGCUAAGUUAUAGAAAACCAAAAACAAAUAUAU